Pangasius djambal is the source of this 73-nucleotide non-coding RNA. The record is from the annotation of a GenBank genome assembly. NCBI's taxonomy places the organism in Eukaryota, Metazoa, Chordata, Actinopteri, Siluriformes, Pangasiidae.
UCCCUGGUGGUUAAGCGGCUAAGAAUCCUGUGCUCUCACUGGUGUGGGCUGGGUUCGAUUCCCAGCCAGGGAA